CCAUCAGAGGAGAGCCGCCAUUUGGCGAAGGACGGAGAGGAGGCAUGCCAUCCUGGCACGCUCGAUCUAAAGAGAGGCUCGACGGAUUGACUAGUUUGGUCUAGCUACCGGAAGACACGGAUGUCAACACACUGAGGUGCAGUGAGAGGCUGGGAGGAGUUCCACUUCACCAGAUUUGCAGACACACACCUGUGGCAGCUUGGCAAUCAGUGCCGACUUCAAAGCUUUGGUCUUCACGCGACCUGCUGACAGAUGAUCUUGCAACAUUGAAGUGUGAUCUGCUACAUCCCCAGCUGUCAGUGGCUCCACAUCCAGCAACCCAGCUUUCUGCGCCUCUGCAGCCUUCGUCCUCCACACACCAGCUGGUCCACCAAUACCCUGUUGAGCAAACUGUCCUACAAAUACCUUUCCCCUCUCCGGUGGACUCUCCAACAGGGGUUCUGAUACACCUUGCCCUGCAUAUUCCACUGCUGAACAAAUAAUAAAUGUCCCUGCAAUCAACUCCUGCCUCGCUGGCCACUUUUGGGUCCUGUCCGCCACCAUACAGCAUAACACGCCCUCUAGUAGUAAAGAAUGGCCUGUCCAAAUACACACCCAUCUCAUUUGUACAGCAGCAUUUCCUUGUAGUUAAUUGUUAUCCUACAAUUGCUUUCAGCCCUUUUCAUACAUCAUCCCCAUACCUAUAUUAGAAAAGAUGAAAGUGAUCAGCACUGUGCUCUCCCCAGAGUUUCCAGGCAGAGCUACAGAACAUGUGGGAGCUGUUAUUUCAAUCUGGGUGUUAUGAAGAAUCUGACCAUAUUUUUCAACCAACGUUGUUGAGCUGAGCUGAAGUAUUUCUACGCCUCACCAUACCUUGGAACAAUAUUGAUAUUACUCUUGUGUAUAUGUUUUUGUAUGCAUUGCACAGGGUUGCCAUGAUUCUAUUCAACUCAAUAGGUAAAUCCAGCUUAAUUUUUUUACAGUAAAAUAGUAUCUCUCUUCUUUA
Long non-coding RNA from Acanthopagrus latus (yellowfin seabream), 985 nucleotides. RefSeq lists it as uncharacterized. Lineage: Eukaryota; Metazoa; Chordata; Actinopteri; Spariformes; Sparidae. The record is from RefSeq and is a predicted model, not a curated record. The transcript is spliced from 5 exons.